RNAcentral lists this long non-coding RNA (602 nucleotides) under Homo sapiens (human). RNAcentral's name for it is "HSALNT0217280". Lineage: Eukaryota; Metazoa; Chordata; Mammalia; Primates; Hominidae. The record is from RNAcentral.
UUUUUUUCCACGUGCCUUUUUAAAAGUUAUUACCAAAAUAGGCAUGGUGAUUUUUUGUAUUUUUAUUUGGUAAGUCUUAUCAAAUACAUACCUCUUUUUAAUUUGGAAUGAGAACAAAUGGAGGGGCAACAAAUUAAAACAGAAUUCUCCUCUUAACUUUCAAAAUUACCUUAAAUUGAGCAGAAAUUUUAAAAAUGCACAGGCCUAUCAAACAUGUUUUAAUCAGAUGGGUAAAAAAAAGCCUUGUCGUUCCAUUUAAAUGCACUAUGAGGGUACGACAAAUAGAAAGACUUGAAUACCUGGUGAAUAACAUCAAGUAUUUGAUAGCACAACAGGGUGACUACAGUCAAUAAUAAUUUUUUUUGUUUUGUUUUUUGAGACUGAGUCUCACUCUAUCACCCAGGCUGGAGUGCAGUGGUGCAGUUAUCAGCUCACUGCAACCUCCACCUCCCAGUUUCAAGCGAUUCUCGGGCCUCAGCCUCCCGAGUAGCUGUGAUUACAGGCGCCUGCCACCACGCCCGGCUAAUUUUUGCUAUUUUUAGUAGAGACGGGGUUUCACCAUGUUGGCCAGGCUGGUCUUGAACUCUUGACCUCAAGUGAUC